RNAcentral lists this ribosomal RNA (497 nucleotides) under uncultured bacterium. RNAcentral describes it as "partial 16S ribosomal RNA". It matches the Rfam family "Bacterial small subunit ribosomal RNA", at positions 28 to 507 of the family's 1533-position model. The record is from RNAcentral.
GAUGAACGCUGGCGGCGUGCCUAAUACAUGCAAGUCGAGCGAACAGACGAGGAGCUUGCUCCUCUGACGUUAGCGGCGGACGGGUGAGUAACACGUGGAUAACCUACCUAUAAGACUGGGAUAACUUCGGGAAACCGGAGCUAAUACCGGAUAAUAUAUUGAACCGCAUGGUUCAAUAGUGAAAGACGGUUUUGCUGUCACUUAUAGAGGGAUCCGCGCCGUAUUAGCUAGUUGGUAAGGUAACGGCUUACCAAGGCAACGAUGCGUAGGCGACCUGAGAGGGUGAUCGGCCACACUGGAACUGAGACACGGUCCAGACUCCUACGGGAGGCAGCAGUAGGGAAUCUUCCGCAAUGGGCGAAAGCCUGACGGAGCAACGCCGCGUGAGUGAUGAAGGUCUUCGGAUCGUAAAACUCUGUUAUUAGGGAAGAACAAAUGUGUAAGUAACUAUGCACGUCUUGACGGUACCUAAUCAGAAAGCCCCGGCUAACUACGUG